Molecule: ribosomal RNA, 475 nt
Filed under: unidentified nematode Sourhope farm
Lineage: Eukaryota; Metazoa; Nematoda
Description: SSU rRNA
Rfam family: Eukaryotic small subunit ribosomal RNA
Source: RNAcentral
UCUAAGUAUAACCUGCCAGACAGGGAAACUGCGUACGGCUCAUUACACCAGCCUUAAUUUACUUGACCUUGACAACCUACUUGGAUAACUGUGGUAAUUCUAGAGCUAAUACAUGCACCAAAGCUCCGAUCCUCGCGGAGAGGAGCGCAUUUGUUCGCCACAAAACCAAGCGCCCAUCUGGGCGUCCAGUGCUGAACCAGAACAACUCAGCUGAUCGCACGGUCUUGUACCGGCGACGUGUCUUUCAAGUGUCUGCCUUAUCAACUUUCGAUGGUAGUGUACCUGACUACCAUGGUUGUGACGGGUAACGGAGGAUAAGGGUUCGACUCCGGAGAAGGGGCCUGAGAAAUGGCCACUACGUCUAAGGAUGGCAGCAGGCGCGCCAAUUACCCACUCUCAACGCGAGGAGGUAGUGACGAGAAAUAACGAGACCGUUCUCAUACGAGGCCGGUUAUUGGAAUGGGUACAAUUUAAA